GACGAACGCUGGCUGCGUGCUUAACACAUGCAAGUCGAACGCUGAAGCCUGGUGCUUGCACCGGGUGGAUGAGUGGCGAACGGGUGAGUAACACGUGAGUAACCUGCCCCUGACUUCGGGAUAAGCCCGGGAAACUGGGUCUAAUACCGGAUACGACUGCCGGACGCAUGUCUGGUGGUGGAAAGUUUUUUCGGUUGGGGAUGGGCUCGCGGCCUAUCAGUUUGUUGGUGAGGUAAUGGCUCACCAAGACGACGACGGGUAGCCGGCCUGAGAGGGCGACCGGCCACACUGGGACUGAGACACGGCCCAGACUCCUACGGGAGGCAGCAGUGGGGAAUAUUGCACAAUGGGGGAAACCCUGAUGCAGCGACGCAGCGUGCGGGAUGACGGCCUUCGGGUUGUAAACCGCUUUCAGCAGGGAAGAAGCGCAAGUGACGGUACCUGCAGAAGA
Molecule: ribosomal RNA, 451 nt
Filed under: Brevibacterium casei
Lineage: Bacteria; Bacillati; Actinomycetota; Actinomycetes; Micrococcales; Brevibacteriaceae
Description: bacterial SSU rRNA
Rfam family: Bacterial small subunit ribosomal RNA
Source: RNAcentral